GAUGAACGCUGGCGGCGUGCCUAAUACAUGCAAGUCGAGCGAACAGAUGAGGAGCUUGCUCCUCUGACGUUAGCGGCGGACGGGUGAGUAACACGUGGAUAACAUACCUAUAAGACUGGGAUAACUUCGGGAAACCGGAGCUAAUACCGGAUAAUAUAUUGAACCGCAUGGUUCAAUAGUGAAAGACGGUUUUGCUGUCACUUAUAGAUGGAUCCGCGCCGCAUUAGCUAGUUGGUAAGGUAACGGCUUACCAAGGCAACGAUGCGUAGCCGACCUGAGAGGGUGAUCGGCCACACUGGAACUGAGACACGGUCCAGACUCCUACGGGAGGCAGCAGUAGGGAAUCUUCCGCAAUGGGCGAAAGCCUGACGGAGCAACGCCGCGUGAGUGAUGAAGGUCUUCGGAUCGUAAAACUCUGUUAUUAGGGAAGAACAAAUGUGUAAGUAACUAUGCACGUCUUGACGGUACCUAAUCAGAAAGCCACGGCUAACUACGUG
This 497-nucleotide ribosomal RNA is filed under the name uncultured bacterium. Its description in RNAcentral is "partial 16S ribosomal RNA". It matches the Rfam family "Bacterial small subunit ribosomal RNA", at positions 28 to 507 of the family's 1533-position model. The record is from RNAcentral.